This is a small nuclear RNA of Pteronotus mesoamericanus, 102 nucleotides long. The record is from RefSeq and is a predicted model, not a curated record. Lineage: Eukaryota; Metazoa; Chordata; Mammalia; Chiroptera; Mormoopidae.
GUGCUCGCUUCAACAGCACAUACACUAAAAUCAGAACGAUAAAGAUUAGCAUGGCCCCUGAGCUAGGAUGACACACAAAUUUGUGAAGCGUUCCAUAUUUAA